GUGGGGAAUAUUGGACAAUGGGCGCAAGCCUGAUCCAGCCAUGCCGCGUGAGUGAUGAAGGCCUUAGGGUUGUAAAGCUCUUUCACCGAUGAAGAUAAUGACGGUAGUCGGAGAAGAAGCCCCGGCUAACUUCGUGCCAGCAGCCGCGGUAAUACGAAGGGGGCUAGCGUUGUUCGGAUUUACUGGGCGUAAAGCGCACGUAGGCGGUUUGUUAAGUCAGGGGUGAAAUCCCGGAGCUCAACUCCGGAACUGCCUUUGAUACUGGCAAGCUAGAGUCCGGAAGAGGUAAGUGGAACUCCUAGUGUAGAGGUGGAAUUCGUAGAUAUUAGGAAGAACACCAGUGGCGAAGGCGGCUUACUGGUCCGGAACUGACGCUGAGGUGCGAAAGCGUGGGGAGCAAACAGGAUUAGAAACCCUAGUGUCC
RNAcentral lists this ribosomal RNA (424 nucleotides) under uncultured bacterium. Its description in RNAcentral is "partial 16S ribosomal RNA". It matches the Rfam family "Bacterial small subunit ribosomal RNA", at positions 354 to 796 of the family's 1533-position model. The record is from RNAcentral.